RNAcentral lists this unclassified non-coding RNA (258 nucleotides) under Xylaria apiculata. RNAcentral describes it as "partial internal transcribed spacer region". The stretch from base 1 to 46 matches the Rfam family "Eukaryotic small subunit ribosomal RNA", at positions 1786 to 1831 of the family's 1831-position model. Lineage: Eukaryota; Fungi; Ascomycota; Sordariomycetes; Xylariales; Xylariaceae. The record is from RNAcentral.
AAGUCGUAACAAGGUCUCCGUUGGUGAACCAGCGGAGGGAUCAUUAAAGAGUUAUCAUAACUCCCAAACCCAUGUGAACCUACCUUUGUUGCCUCGGCAAGUCUGCAGUUUACCCUGUGAGACCCUACCCUGUAGGGACCUUACCCGGUAAUUGCAGGUAAAGCCUGCCGGUGGUCUAUUAAACUCUGUUUACUAUGUUUAUUCUGAAUAAUAUAACUAAAUAAGUUAAAACUUUCAACAACGGAUCUCUUGGUUCUG